GGGGCCGUAACGGGUUCGACGGGGGUGUUGAAGCCGGGAUAGCGGGCCGCAGCGGGGAUCUGCGCUAAAAGCUCCAACUGUUUAUAAAUUAAACAACAACGAUUAUACUCUUCAGGCUGCCUAAUUAAGGCUUAGCCCGUCGGCUCAGAGAGGACCACGGCUUUGAGACCCGGCGUCGAUUAGUGGUGAACGUGUACGGGGUAAGAGUUGCCCCCGUCAUGUAAGAUGACUCUACUGAAGUGACCAGCCUGUUUGCCGGCGUGUCAUGGAGGGAAUGCCAAAAGACAAACUGCGCCCGGAGAAGUCACGGUGGAUGUGCUUUCGGACAGGGGUUCAACUCCCCUCGGCUCCACCA
RNAcentral lists this transfer-messenger RNA (355 nucleotides) under Candidatus Agathobaculum merdavium. It matches the Rfam family "transfer-messenger RNA". From Rfam's summary of the family: Bacterial tmRNA, also known as 10Sa RNA or SsrA, is named for its dual tRNA and mRNA-like properties. The record is from RNAcentral. Lineage: Bacteria; Bacillati; Bacillota; Clostridia; Eubacteriales; Butyricicoccaceae. RNAcentral also lists the same sequence under 2 other names.